AUGAUAAACAUUAUGAAUAAAUAUUUUUUCUCAAAAUACUGUAAUACAAAAGUAAAUUUAUUUCAAAAAUAUUUUUUUAAAAAGAAGAAACUUAUGCGAAGAAGAAGUUACAACUCCAUUUUUUGCAACAUAUGCAAUGUUAUUUUUUUUUCGUUAAAUUCUUAUUUCAUAAAGAAAUACAUACUUUCAAAAAACGUUAAUAUAUUUUAUUUAGAAGAUAAAACAAAUGCUUAUUUGGAAAAAAAAUAUAAGACUAAGACUCCGUAUAUAAAAACAGAAAGUGGUAUACUCUAUAAGGACCUAAUAGAUGGAGAAGGAGACCCAAUAGAAGAAGGUGAUAUCGUAUAUAUCCAUUACCAAGGAAAAACAACAAAUGAUUUUCGAAUUAUCCAAUCAACAUUCAAAAGUAUUAUUCCACCUAAAAUUAAAGCUGGGUGUUAUGAUAGAAUGCAUAUACCAGCUAUUUACGAAAUGGUUAUUAAUAUGAAAAAACAUACGAGGAGACAAUGUAUUAUUCCUCCACAUAUGGGUUUACCCAAUCAUUUCCCUAAUCAAGUAAGUCAAAAAAAAAAAAAAAAAAAAAAAAAAAUUAACAAUGAAAGCAGAGUUAGCAAAAUCUUCUUUCGUGCAACUUAAUUCGAAUAUUCCUCAAUUUACUCAAUUUUUUUUUAUUUUUAUUUUAUAGCCCCUUCUUUACGAAAUAGACGUUGUCAGAAUAGUAAAAAAGAACGCACCACAAAAAACACUUUUGGAAAAAAUCAAAGCGCAAAUUGAAUAUUUGAAAAAUAUUAUUUUUACUUUCUUUUAAUUUAUUAUAUACGUCAAUGUAAAAAAUAUAUAUAUAUAUAUAUCUAUUAAGCAUCAUUUAUGUAUCUUUUGGUAUCAUUUGUUUUUAAUUUUUUUUUUUUUUUUUUUUUUAUCACUAAAACAAUUACUUUAUACUGAGCACUUUCUUUCUUGUUUGUCUGCCUAUUUACCAUUUAGACUAUUAUUUCAACUUUUAUCAUUCAUCUUCCACCAAUUCAUUCAUUAUACUUGAUGCAAUGUGGUUUAACUUUUUUUUCUCUUCUACUUUUUUUACACAAUCACCAUUUACAACACCAUUUACAACGCCAUUUUCAACACCAUUUACAACACCAUUUUCAACACCAUUUUCAACACCAUUUUCAACACCAUUUUCAACACCAUUUAAUGUUUUUAUGCACAAAUUGUUAAAAUUAACAUUUAUAUGCGUUAGCCAAUUAUUAACAAUAUGAACAUUUUUUUUCAUUUUCUAUUAAUAUAGCGUAACCGUUUUUAUUUCUUCUUCCUACUCUUCCACAUAAAUGAAUAUAUUCAUUUAUAUUGGCAGGUUUAUUACAUAAAAUUACAAUAUCCAAAUCGUUUAUAUGAAACCCACGAAUGUUAUCAAAUGAACUAAUAACAAUAGGGUAUUUAUUUAAAUACAUAUUUUUAUUUUGUAUUUCUUUUUUUUUUAUUCAUUGUCAUUGUCAUAGUUACAGUUUCAUUUAAAAUUUUUAAUUUUUCAUAAUUUUUACACAUAUUAAAUAAUUGUUUAUUAUUAUCAUUCAACGAUAUUUCUAAUUGUUCAUGUAAUAAUAAAGAAAAUAUAUUAUUUUUAUGUAAAUAUUGU
Piliocolobus tephrosceles (Ugandan red Colobus) is the source of this 1633-nucleotide long non-coding RNA. Lineage: Eukaryota; Metazoa; Chordata; Mammalia; Primates; Cercopithecidae. The record is from Ensembl.